GAGUUUGAUCUUGGCUCAGAUUGAACGCUGGCGGCAUGCCUUACACAUGCAAGUCGAACGGUAACAGGUCUUCGGAUGCUGACGAGUGGCGAACGGGUGAGUAAUACAUCGGAACGUGCCCGAUCGUGGGGGGAUAACGGAGCGAAAGCUUUGCUAAUACCGCAUACGAUCUACGGAUGAAAGCAGGGGACCGCAAGGCCUUGCGCGGACGGAGCGGCCGAUGGCAGAUUAGGUAGUUGGUGGGAUAAAAGCCUACCAAGCCGACGAUCUGUAGCUGGUCUGAGAGGACGACCAGCCACACUGGGACUGAGACACGGCCCAGACUCCUACGGGAGGCAGCAGUGGGGAAUUUUGGACAAUGGGCGAAAGCCUGAUCCAGCCAUGCCGCGUGCAGGAUGAAGGCC
RNAcentral lists this ribosomal RNA (404 nucleotides) under uncultured microorganism. RNAcentral's name for it is "bacterial SSU rRNA". It matches the Rfam family "Bacterial small subunit ribosomal RNA", at positions 9 to 416 of the family's 1533-position model. The record is from RNAcentral.